UUUUUUUUUUGGUACCUAGGAUGGAAUUUAGGGGCACUCGACCACCGAGCCACAUCCCCAGCACUAUUUUGUAUUCUGUUUAACGACAGGGUCUCACUGAGUUGCUUUGCAUCUCGCUUUUGCUGAGGCUGGCUUUGAACUCGCGAUCCGCUGGGAUUACUGGCGCGCUACCUUCUUUUCUAAGGGUCCCUCAUUGGUCCCAGGUAUCUAAGGCUCUGGACAGGCCUUUUGUUCACUUUUGUUCAUUCGUGCUUGUUGAAGGCACUCUUGAUUCCUUCCAGACCUGUUCCUCCUAUGCCUUUUCCAUCUCAGCUGACUCCAUUCCUGUGGUUGCUCAGAACUAAAGCUUGGGGUCACUCUUGACUCUUCUUCACUCCCCUUGAUCAAUCCGAAAACAAUUUUUUAAAAUUCUAAUCUUAAAAUAUAUCUGAAAUUGACCACUUCUCAAUACUUCUGCCAUGACCAGCACGGAGUCACUCAUCCCUCGUCUGUGCUGGGACUGUUGUAACACUUCUCACAGGCAUUCUGCUUUCACUCAGAUCCCCAGGGCUGCCAUCUAUUCUCCAAGCUGCAGUCACCCUUUUAAAAUGGACAGAUCACUGAUCAAACUUUGCACCAAUGGUACCCAUCUCACUUGGUGCUGCCAACUCCUGAAAUGACCUCCCAGGCCCAUUGUGUUCUGGUCCCUGACAAUCUCCCUGAUCUCAUCUUCUGCUCUUUUCCUUCCAACACGUCUUCCCAACCACACCAGUCACUAUGCUGUUCCUCAAACAUUCCAAGUCACCUCCUACCUCAGGACUAUUGUCUCUGCUGUUCCUUUUGGCUGAAUUGCCCUUCUCCCCAGUAGUCACAUGGUUUGCUUCUCAGCCUCAUUUAUAUUUCUGCUUCAAUUUAAUCUUAACAGAAAGGCCUUUCAUAAAGACCUUAUUUAAAAUUGUAAGUCACAUGGGCUGGGUUGUAGAUUAGUGGUAAAGCACUUGCCUAGCAAACUAGACUGUGGGUUCAAUCCCCAGAUCUGAAAGAAAGAAAAUUGCAAAACAGCACCCCUCCAUACUCUUUAUCUCCCCUCCUUUUGUUUUGUUCAGUGUUUGGAAUUGAACCCAGGGCCUCACACCUACUAGGCAAGUGCUCUACCACUCAGCUACUUUGCAUGCUAGGCAAAUACUCCAUUACAUCCUCAUCCCCACAAUCCCUCUUUUUUGUUUCUUCUCUAUUUUCUCUGUAGCACUAAUCUCCACUUCACAUGUCAUUGUCUAAAACUUCCCUGUAGCUGAGGUGUUAUCCCACUUACACAAUAACAAAGUAAUGCUUUACUAUUUCAUGGAUUCUGACAGAAGACAUGAAACUCUGGCUAAGAGACAAAGGGCUUGAUUGUUUUGUAAAAGCAGCAGCUACAGUUUGAAGUUUGUGUUAUUUCCCCAUGUUCUGCAAGCCCCAUGG
This 1440-nucleotide long non-coding RNA is filed under the name Marmota monax (woodchuck). Lineage: Eukaryota; Metazoa; Chordata; Mammalia; Rodentia; Sciuridae. The record is from RNAcentral.